CGAAAAAUUUGAUGAUCGGUAUUCUUAGUUUUAAAUUUAAAUUUUAAUUGAUUCAUAUUUUUUAGUUAAAUUUAUUUUUAAAAUAAAUAAACGAGACAGAUAGUAUGCUAUCUUUAUCUAAAAAAAAUAUUGUAUCGGAUGACCGACUAUCUCUUACGCAAGUAACAAAAGCAUUAAUAUGUAACAUUUAAUAUUUAAAUUUAAUAUUUUAUUAGUUUAUGUUUUUAAGUAAAUUUAUUUUUUAAAAAAUAAAUGAAUCAGAUAGCAUAUUACCUUUCUCUCUUCAAGAAAAAAAAAUACAUAUAUCCGAUGGAGUCUCAAAUCUUGUUCAUACUAAAAAAAUUUCUGAAUUUGGCUCUCAUUUAACUUAUUUUAUCAUAUAGCUAUCAUGCUAUGAAUGGUUACGUGUAUAUUAAAAUUAAUUCUGAUUUUUUUUACUGUAUUAAUUUUUUAGGUGACUAUUUUCUAAAAUAAUUAAAUAAAAAUGUAUAGAAAAUAAAUUAAUUAUAAAAGAUUUUAACUUGAUUAUUCAAUCUUUCAAAAUUUUAAUUUUAUUACUCAAUCUUUUCAUUUAUUUAAUCUGAAUUGGUUAAUAGCUUUUCACUUUUAAAAUUUAAAUGUAUCAUUUAUCCCUACAGAUUUAGAUAAUACACUUAACAUAAUUCACGCAGCUAUAAACUCGUUAAAAUGAAUAAUUAAUUUAAAUUUGAAAACAAAGCAUCGUUGACUAAAUCAAAUAAAAAAUUUUAUAGUAAAAUUAAAAUUUUAAAAUUGGAUGGCAAAGUCAAAACAAUCCAUAGUUCAAAUAAGAACGGUAUAUUUUAGCUGUAUAAUUAUUUAUGAUUACUAUUAAUCUGUUCCCAAGUUUUAUCCAACAUUUUUAAAGCAUGCGAAUUAAUCAAUUAAAAAUUUGAAUAGAAUAUGUGAUAACAUAUUAAUAGUGUAUAAAAAUAAUAUUUUUUUAGAGAAAAAUAGCAUGCUACCUGUUUUGUUUAUUUUUUAAAAAAUAAACUUAACUGAAAAUAUGAAUUAAUUAGGAUUCGAACAUUGAACCUCAGACACCAACUACUAAAUUUUUUACUACUUGCGCUAGGAAUAGUCAGUAUCUAUAAAGAUAAUGUUAUCUGAAAUUUGUAA
This 1137-nucleotide long non-coding RNA is filed under the name Ananas comosus (pineapple). Its description in RNAcentral is "long non-coding RNA (ACOM_LNC006340)". The record is from RNAcentral. Lineage: Eukaryota; Viridiplantae; Streptophyta; Magnoliopsida; Poales; Bromeliaceae.